UAAUACGUAGGUGGCAAGCGUUGUCCGGAAUUAUUGGGCGUAAAGCGCGCGCAGGCGGUCUUUUAAGUCUGAUGUGAAAGCCCACGGCUCAACCGUGGAGGGUCAUUGGAAACUGGAAGACUUGAGUGCAGAAGAGGAGAGUGGAAUUCCACGUGUAGCGGUGAAAUGCGUAGAGAUGUGGAGGAACACCAGCGGCGAAGGCGACUCUCUGGUCUGUAACUGACGCUGAGGCGCGAAAGCGUGGGGAGCAAACAGGAUUAGAUACCCUGGUAGUCCACGCCGUAAACGAUGAGUGCUAAGUGUUAGAGGGUUUCCGCCCUUUAGUGCUGCAGCUAACGCAUUAAGCACUCCGCCUGGGGAGUACGACCGCAAGGUUGAA
This 379-nucleotide ribosomal RNA is filed under the name uncultured bacterium. RNAcentral describes it as "bacterial SSU rRNA". It matches the Rfam family "Bacterial small subunit ribosomal RNA", at positions 521 to 898 of the family's 1533-position model. The record is from RNAcentral.